Molecule: long non-coding RNA, 257 nt
Organism: Pseudopipra pipra
Lineage: Eukaryota; Metazoa; Chordata; Aves; Passeriformes; Pipridae
Exons: 3
Source: RefSeq, a predicted model, not a curated record
GAAAUAAGAUAUCAAAUGACAGUGCUGAGAACAAACGGAGUCAGAGACAAUUUACUCACAGACAUAUAAACUCCACAGCUGCUGUGUACUGUGGUAGAGAUGACACAGCCCAGGUGAGAAUUCAGAAAGAAGAAACCAGGAGACAGUGGAAAAUGGUUUUUUUUCACAUGAUUGAACAUGAAGAAAAGCCUGAGUCCAAUAUCAGCCCAAUAUCCAGACAAAUAGCAAUAAAGUAACGGAUGAAGAAGAUAAUUUAA